AAUCAAGUGCCUUAAGGGUGUUCGGUGGAUGCCUUGGCGCUGAGAGGCGAUGAAGGACGUGCUACGCUGCGAUAAGCCG
RNAcentral lists this ribosomal RNA (79 nucleotides) under Bradyrhizobium sp. MSDJ 5493. RNAcentral describes it as "partial 23S ribosomal RNA". Lineage: Bacteria; Pseudomonadati; Pseudomonadota; Alphaproteobacteria; Hyphomicrobiales; Nitrobacteraceae. The record is from RNAcentral.